Molecule: ribosomal RNA, 253 nt
Filed under: uncultured bacterium
Lineage: Bacteria
Description: partial 16S ribosomal RNA
Rfam family: Bacterial small subunit ribosomal RNA
Source: RNAcentral
GACGGAGGAUGCAAGUGUUAUCCGGAAUCACUGGGCGUAAAGCGUCUGUAGGUGGUUCAAUAAGUCAACUGUUAAAUCUUGAGGCUCAACUUCAAAAUCGCAGUCGAAACUAUUGGACUCGAGUAUAGUAGGGGUAAAGGGAAUUUCCAGUGGAGCGGUGAAAUGCGUAGAGAUUGGAAAGACCACCGAUGGCGAAGGCACUCUACUGGGCCAUGACUGACACUGAGAGACGAAAGCGUGGGUAGCAAACAGG